RNAcentral lists this ribosomal RNA (134 nucleotides) under uncultured eukaryote. RNAcentral's name for it is "partial small subunit ribosomal RNA". It matches the Rfam family "Eukaryotic small subunit ribosomal RNA", at positions 1651 to 1786 of the family's 1831-position model. The record is from RNAcentral.
CCCUGCCAUUUGUACACACCGCCCGUCGCACCUACCGAUUGGACGAUCCGGCGAGAUGUUUGGAGUUGCGUUUGUUGGGGUAACUCGACUUACGCGAUGAAACUCAUCAAACCUUAUCGUCUAGAGGAAGGUGA